RNAcentral lists this ribosomal RNA (253 nucleotides) under uncultured bacterium. Its description in RNAcentral is "partial 16S ribosomal RNA". It matches the Rfam family "Bacterial small subunit ribosomal RNA", at positions 524 to 776 of the family's 1533-position model. The record is from RNAcentral.
UACAGAGGUCCCGAGCGUUGUUCGGAUUCACUGGGCGUAAAGGGUGCGUAGGUGGUGAGGUAAGUCGGAUGUGAAAUCUCCAAGCUCAACUUGGAAAUGGCAUUGGAAACUACCUUGCUGGAGGUUUGGAGGGGGGACUGGAAUUCUCGGUGUAGCAGUGAAAUGCGUAGAUAUCGAGAGGAACACCAGUGGCGAAGGCGAGUCCCUGGACAAAACCUGACACUGAGGCACGAAGGCCAGGGGAGCAAACGGG